RNAcentral lists this ribosomal RNA (495 nucleotides) under uncultured bacterium. Its description in RNAcentral is "partial 16S ribosomal RNA". It matches the Rfam family "Bacterial small subunit ribosomal RNA", at positions 28 to 507 of the family's 1533-position model. The record is from RNAcentral.
GACGAACGCUGCCGGCGUGCCUAAUACAUGCAAGUAGAACGCUGAAGGAGGAGCUUGCUUCUCUGGAUGAGUUGCGAACGGGUGAGUAACGCGUAGGUAACCUGCCUGGUAGCGGGGGAUAACUAUUGGAAACGAUAGCUAAUACCGCAUAAGAGUAGAUGUUGCAUGACAUUUGCUUAAAAGGUGCAAUUGCAUCACUACCAGAUGGACCUGCGUUGUAUUAGCUAGUUGGUGGGGUAACGGCUUACCAAGGCGACGAUACAUAGCCGACCUGAGAGGGUGAUCGGCCACACUGGGACUGAGACACGGCCCAGACUCCUACGGGAGGCAGCAGUAGGGAAUCUUCGGCAAUAGACGGAAGUCUGACCGAGCAACGCCGCGUGAGUGAAGAAGGUUUUCGGAUCGUAAAGCUCUGUUGUAAGAGAAGAACGAGUGUGAGAGUGGAAAGUUCACACUGUGACGGUAUCUUACCAGAAAGGGACGGCUAACUACGUG